GUGUCAGCCCUGGCUGCAGGCCUCCAUUUAUCUAUAGCAGGGGUACCAGCUUCCCCUAGCAUCAGUGUCUCUCUCCUGUUGUGGAAGGACCCUCUCUAGGACCCAGAGGGGAGUUCAGUCACCAGGGCCCAUUCAAUCCUUGGCUUCU
This 148-nucleotide small RNA is filed under the name Chrysemys picta bellii (western painted turtle). RNAcentral describes it as "TUC338 (ENSCPBG00000010056.1)". The record is from RNAcentral. Lineage: Eukaryota; Metazoa; Chordata; Testudines; Emydidae.